CAGCCCGCAGAGGCAGAUGAGCAGCGUGAGACCGUCUAUGGCCAUGCAGCAGCCUGGGGCCGACCUGCCGGCGGGUCCGAGCUCCCUCCCUUCCUCCGGCUCUCCUUGCCAGGAGCUUCUCGGGUGAGGAGAACCAGGGUCUCGACGUCCUCAGAAGAUCCCGAGCAGCCCGUCUCGCCUCCGAAGAGAGCUGCUCUGGUGGGGCGUUCCUGCAAGAUGACGGGCGAGGCGGUGAGAGAGCGCUGGGCAGUUUCAGAGCCACGAGGCUGCAUCACCCAGCCUCUCCUGGCCAAUUCCUCUUGGUCUUGCGGGAAAGGAAAUGUGUUGUCCGAGAGAAUACCCCAGAGGAUGGAUGGAUACUGCACCAUCUCCAUCUUGCUCUGAAGAAUCUCGAUGCUUUUAGGAUUCAACCUGAUAUCUCAUUAGACGGCCUCCCGGCAUGUGAAUCGCCGCUGUCUCGUCUCCAUCUUUGUCCUGCAUCUGGCCUGGGUGGGAAUUUGGUGUUCCAGACGUCGGUUCGGACUCGACCCGGGUGAUCCGGGGGCUGCUGGCCCCCCCCCUCCAAGCUGGGCUGGUGCCCACCGAGGGGGACGGAGCGGGUCGAUGGUAGGAGAGCGGAGGACGAGCCAGCCGUAGGGCUGGG
Chroicocephalus ridibundus (black-headed gull) is the source of this 643-nucleotide long non-coding RNA. RefSeq lists it as uncharacterized. The record is from RefSeq and is a predicted model, not a curated record. The transcript has 3 exons. Lineage: Eukaryota; Metazoa; Chordata; Aves; Charadriiformes; Laridae.